Molecule: long non-coding RNA, 256 nt
Filed under: Vitis vinifera (wine grape)
Lineage: Eukaryota; Viridiplantae; Streptophyta; Magnoliopsida; Vitales; Vitaceae
Description: long non-coding RNA (VVIN_LNC003341)
Source: RNAcentral
GGUGAUGGGACAAAUGUAGAAGGCUGAACUUUCCAACAGCUGAACCCUUUAAGCACCUAUUCAAGACCACUUAUCUUGCCAGCUUUUUUUUUUGUUGCAACAUAGCGUGCGUAUGACAAACUUCUGAAUUACUCUCAAGAUUGAUAUGGUUCCUCCAAAAUUCUAGUUUUCCAAUUGAAUGCAAUCAACAGGUUCGACAAAGCCCAUAAAUCUGCCUUUCCAUGUAAAUGUUGUUAGACAAAGUAGUCCUGCAUUU